Ahaetulla prasina is the source of this 2812-nucleotide long non-coding RNA. RefSeq lists it as uncharacterized. Lineage: Eukaryota; Metazoa; Chordata; Lepidosauria; Squamata; Colubridae. The transcript has 3 exons. The record is from RefSeq and is a predicted model, not a curated record.
UUGAUGAGAGAGUCCAUGCCCAGCUUGACUCUCUGGCUAUUGCAAGCGGUACCAUUGUGUGCUACGUGACACCCACAUUUUGGACUCAGUUGAGUUUUGCCCAACUCCUCCGAAUGGAAUUCGACACAACAGGAUUCUGAAGCUGAGACUCCCCAGAUGACAUAAAGAUGGAAAAUCUGAUGAAAUGUCCCUUGGGAUGCCAUCCCCAAAGUCAGAGGAUUGCAAACUAAGUUACUGUACACACAGAAGCAACUGAAGUUCUCUACAUUCAAGCAGUAACAAGCAAAAUUCCAUGGAGUGGCAUUCUCCCUAUGUCCUGCAAGUUAGCCAUAAAAAAGAAUGAAUACAUGGGAUGGAAUAAGAAGAUGGGUAGCCAUUGAACCCACACAUCAAGAGGACUGAAAUCAACACAGAUCUACUGUAGCCUCAGAAACAUAAAGCUUCCUAGGUCAACUGAGCCUCCUCUUAUCAUGAAGGCUGAAAAUUGACAAUGAGGCCGUCCGCGAUUUUGAGGCAGAAAUAUAUUCUUAAAAAUCUAGUCUAAAAUAGCUUUGCAAUACCCAACAUCAAGACCUCCCAAGAGCCUGAUAAACAAAGACAAAUAUCCUGCUCAUCAGCAAGGUUACCUGUAGAGACUAAGGAAGGAGACUUGAUAGACAUACGCAAGGACUCUUUAUUUAUUUUCUUUUGUAUAUCAUCUAUCUAUCUAUCUAUUUAUCUAUUUAUCUGUUUGUCUGUCUGUCUUAUCAUCCACAUAUUUCCAAUGAUGGAACUAGUUAACAGUAUUCAGUAUAACCUGGCAGAAACAAACAGUGAGUGAGAGGUCUCAUCUACAGCUAAAUAAAAAGCCUAGCAUUUGAAAACUGAAACUCAGCCAAAAGGGCUAAGGAAAUACCUAACUAUUUGAUAUUCAAGAUACAGUAUCUCAGUUUGUUGAUAGCUGCAUUAUAUUAUCGCUAACUUGGCAUGACCUUGACAAUAUCUUCACAACCUCCAUCUUCUCCCUUAUAAUUAAAAGCAUUGUUACUACUAUUGUUACUACUGUAAAUACUAUAAAUAUGGGACAAGUUCCAGAAGUCAUGUUGCUACCAAAACAUAAAGCAACUUUUCUCGUAUAAAGGCCACAAGAGACUUAGAAAUGCACGGCUAGGUAAAAUCAAUAAUUAAAUAUGAUAUUAUUGAUAUGCCAAUGUAUUUUACAUUCAACAUCCAUAGAACUAAUCCUAAAAAUUAACAUUACUGCUGCCAUCUAUUUAACAGGUUUCCCCUUCCAUCCUAUUAAAAAUGAUAAUUUGUAGACUGCUGCUGGAAGAUUUUUAAGGGCCAUGAAUUGUUCAAAGACCUAAGAUUGACCACCUCUAACAGAAAGCCGAAAACAACCUCUCUCUUAACUGCCCUGAAAAGUCAUGGAGCCACAUUUUACAUGUGGGCCCUUUGUCUCUUGUGAGUGAAUAUAAUCUCCCACUUAAACCUUGUUAAAGAAAAUAUUUUAACAGCUCUUAAUGCUAAAGAACAUUCCUCUUUAACCAAGACUUGAACUUUAAGAUGCAGCCUUGUGGAAAAUCUGCUUAGUAUUAACAGUGGUCAAGGUUGGUGACAACAUUUCCCAUGACUGAAAGUCAAAGAAGAGAUGUGAAUUUGCUGUAGAAAAAAAAGGGCAUGUAAGCAUUGAGACAUUACACAGCGCAGUUAGGGCAGGAGAACAACAUCGGCUGGUAUCCAACCACCAUAUGCCCAGCCUAGGAUAGAUACGCUCCAAAUAUCUGGUCCCCACUUUUUUGCAUCAUUAACAUGUUUAGAGAAUUAAGAGGCAAAGUGAGUACUUUAAGCCUUCUGAAUAAGAAGCCUAUUCAGCUCUAAAAAAAAUCUUGAAACUCCCUGAGUUGAAACUCCAUCCAGUUUGCAGAGGGUUUCUGACAUAUUAUGCAAAGCCUGAGGCAGCUAUCUAAUUGACAGGAGUUCCAGUCUCUUUGGGUCUAUGACAAUUCACCGUGGCCAGCUUGCCACAGCCAGCUUGCAAUAGCCAACUCACUGCAGGACAACUCACUCUGGUGAGACAAGUGUUACAAUAAUAUCAAAGAAAUGGUGGAAUAAGAAUCAUUAAAAAAAGGAUACAAAAGGAGGGACAGAAUGAAAUGUAAAUGGCGAAAAUUAAAAUAAUUUUAUUGUAAAUAGAAUUGUUAAAUUCUUCCACAGCAAGGUGUCCCACGUGAAGUUGGCUGUGGUGAGUUGGCCAUCCUGAGUUGACCAUGGUGAGUUGGCCACAGCAAGAUGGCUGUGGCAAGUUGUCCCAUUCCCACCUCUUUGUUAUGAUUCAGUUGUACCACUUGCUAGUGUGUUGGAAAAAAAACUUUGCCAAAAAAUAGUUUUGGCAUUUCCCGCCCCCCCAAUCAGUCUCAUUCAGUUUGAUAAACAAGAAUUCCUUUCUGUAUUUUUUUAAAGGUGGAGAACAUUCCAGUAAACUUUCCUGAAUAGAAAUGAUCAGAAAUUCUUAUAGUCCCUUCUCUGUGAAGUGGUAAAGGAACCUAAACAUUCAGUCUUUCUCAUCUCCUCGACUCAUUCCCACUCUGCACCUCCUUGACCCCCUCCCCACUGUGUCCCAUUAAACCCUAAAAAAAGCUACCCAAAAUGAAUGUGUCGUGUGAAGCUUUUUUAGGAGGGGCAGCCAGGGACGCUGCAGGGUGAUAGAGCUUUCUCUGCCAUUUUGUACCAAUUCAUAAACUCUGUGGUGCCAUGGUGGUACAGUAGUUAAAAUGCAGUAUUGCAGGCUAAUUCUGCUAACUGCCAGGGGUUUGAUCCUCACCAGCUCAAG